GACGAACGCUGGCGGCGUACCUAAUACAUGCAAGUAGAACGCUGAAGGAGGAGCUUGCUUCUCUGGAUGAGUUGCGAACGGGUGAGUAACGCGUAGGUAACCUGCCUGGUAGCGGGGGAUAACUAUUGGAAACGAUAGCUAAUACCGCAUAAUAGCAGUUAUUGCAUGAUAACUGUUUGAAAGGUGCAAUUGCACCACUACCAGAUGGACCUGCGUUGUAUUAGCUAGUUGGUGGGGUAACGGCUCACCAAGGCGACGAUACAUAGCCGACCUGAGAGGGUGAUCGGCCACACUGGGACUGAGACACGGCCCAGACUCCUACGGGAGGCAGCAGUAGGGAAUCUUCGGCAAUGGACGGAAGUCUGACCGAGCAACGCCGCGUGAGUGAAGAAGGUUUUCGGAUCGUAAAGCUCUGUUGUAAGAGAAGAACGAGUGUGAGAGUGGAAAGUUCACACUGUGACGGUAUCUUACCAGAAAGGGACGGCUAACUACGUG
Molecule: ribosomal RNA, 495 nt
Filed under: uncultured bacterium
Lineage: Bacteria
Description: partial 16S ribosomal RNA
Rfam family: Bacterial small subunit ribosomal RNA
Source: RNAcentral